This 380-nucleotide unclassified non-coding RNA is filed under the name Klebsiella planticola. RNAcentral's name for it is "Raoultella planticola partial 16S-23S ribosomal RNA intergenic spacer". The stretch from base 241 to 373 matches the Rfam family "Salmonella enterica Typhi npcRNA 44". Lineage: Bacteria; Pseudomonadati; Pseudomonadota; Gammaproteobacteria; Enterobacterales; Enterobacteriaceae. The record is from RNAcentral.
CCUGAAAGAACCUGCCUUUGUAGUGCUCACACAGAUUGUCUGAUGAAAAGUAAAUAGCAAGGCGUCUUGCGAUUGAGACUUCAGUGUCCCCUUCGUCUAGAGGCCCAGGACACCGCCCUUUCACGGCGGUAACAGGGGCUCGAAUCCCCUAGGGGACGCCACUUGCUGGUUCGUGAGUGAAAGUCGCCGACCUCCAUAUCUCAAAACUGAUUCUCAGGAAACACGUUUGAGAUAUUUGCUCUUUAAAAAUCUGGAUCAAGCUGAAAAUUGAAACGACACACUGUUUCCUUUCUCCGUAAUAAGAGAGGAAAAAGCGGUGUGUUCGAGUCUCUCAAAUUUUCGCAACGCGGACUGUUUUACGAAACAGUUUCGGGUUGUGA